Molecule: ribosomal RNA, 466 nt
Filed under: uncultured bacterium
Lineage: Bacteria
Description: partial 16S ribosomal RNA
Rfam family: Bacterial small subunit ribosomal RNA
Source: RNAcentral
GACGAACGCUGGCGGCGCGCCUAACACAUGCAAGUCGAACGAGCGAGAGAGAGCUUGCUUUCUCAAGCGAGUGGCGAACGGGUGAGUAACGCGUGAGGAACCUGCCUCAAAGAGGGGGACAACAGUUGGAAACGACUGCUAAUACCGCAUAAGCCCACAGGUCGGCAUCGACCAGAGGGAAAAGGGGCAAUCCGCUUUGAGAUGGCCUCGCGUCCGAUUAGCUAGUUGGUGAGGUAACGGCCCCCCAAGGCAACGAUCGGUAGCCGGACAGAGAGGUUGAACGGCCACAUUGGGACUGAGACACGGCCGAGACUCCUACGGGAGGCAGCAGUGGGGAAUAUUGCACAAUGGGGGAAACCCUGAUGCAGCGACGACGGGUGGAGGAAGAAGGUCGUCGGAUUGUAAACUCCUGUUGUUGAGGAAGAUAAUGACGGUACUCAACAAGGAAGUGACGGCUAACUACGUG